Molecule: transfer RNA, 75 nt
Filed under: Pacificimonas pallii
Lineage: Bacteria; Pseudomonadati; Pseudomonadota; Alphaproteobacteria; Sphingomonadales; Sphingosinicellaceae
Description: tRNA-Ile
Rfam family: tRNA
About the family: Transfer RNA (tRNA) molecules are approximately 80 nucleotides in length. Their secondary structure includes four short double-helical elements and three loops (D, anti-codon, and T loops).
Source: RNAcentral
GGGCCUGUAGCUCAAUGGUAGAGCUGGCUGCUCAUAACGGCUAGGUUGGGGGUUCGAGUCCCUCCGGGCCCACCA